Molecule: long non-coding RNA, 897 nt
Filed under: Triticum aestivum (bread wheat)
Lineage: Eukaryota; Viridiplantae; Streptophyta; Magnoliopsida; Poales; Poaceae
Description: long non-coding RNA (TAES_LNC028193)
Source: RNAcentral
UUAUAUAUUGUCCCUUUGCUUUGGUUGGAAUGUAUCAUGCAAGAAUGGACGGAAGGUCUGCCACUGCGUGUAUACUGGUGAUGGUGGUGUUGUUCGGAAGCACUACAUCUGCAGGUAUGUUCUCCGUGUUGUUGUUUAUGUAGAGUUCCUAGUGCAUAUGUUAUUCCAAGCAAGAACAUUGAAAAAUAUAAAUAAGAUUUCAAGAUUGUAUUACCAAAGUUUUCUCAAAUAGUACAUUGAUGCACAUUUUGCAUAUGUCCUUUACGAUUUGGGUACAUCUUACUACUUUUAUGCAGCGCUGUAAGAAUCAUGUCAUUACAAUCAAUGUCUCACCUUUAUGUAUAAUUUUUAAUUAUCUUUGAGGUGUGCAGAGAAAUGUGCGAUGGUUCAAUUUCCGCUCGUGAUGUGCAACAAUCUAGCAUGCAAGCAUGAAUGUGAGUUUUGGGGCCAGGGCAAGAAGGUUCGCGGAUUCUGGUGCAAUCGGAUGCUCCGUGGCACCUGCAACUGCAAGAUUUGUUGGGAUGAAUAAACUUAAUUGAUGUGCUAAGUACAAUUAAUGUUAUCAAUAAUGAAUUCAUAACUUUGUGUCCCUGAAUCACCCAGUUAUGCAUGUGAUUCUAUUCUUGGGAGAGCACCAUGGGAUGGAGAAUAUUAAUCUAUAUUGUGUCGUGAAAAAACUUCUUAAAAGACAAAUAUCAUAUAGUUAUGAACAAAUACUAGACCAUGCCGGCGCGCGUUGCUGCACCCGUCGAUUUAUGCAAUUCAAUGUUAGGCAUUGAUACGAAUAUACGGGAACACGCUGUUCCGUAAUCUUGUAUUGUAAUUUUAGAUUCAUAUUUUGUUAAAAGUUGAGCAGAUCCUUCCUUUAUUGAAUUUUUUAACCUUCCUUUGUCGAAU